UGGGGAAUAUUGGACAAUGGGGGCAACCCUGAUCCAGCCAUGCCGCGUGGGUGAAGAAGGCCUUAGGGUUGUAAAACCCUUUCAGCGGGGAAGAUGAUGACGGUACCCGCAGAAGAAGCCCCGGCUAACUCCGUGCCAGCAGCCGCGGUAAUACGGAGGGGGCUAGCGUUGUUCGGAAUUACUGGGCGUAAAGGGCGUGUAGGCGGCUUGUCCAGUCAGGCUUUCGCCC
RNAcentral lists this ribosomal RNA (229 nucleotides) under uncultured prokaryote. RNAcentral describes it as "partial 16S ribosomal RNA". It matches the Rfam family "Bacterial small subunit ribosomal RNA", at positions 355 to 601 of the family's 1533-position model. The record is from RNAcentral.